UUCAUCUGAAAGAAAACCAGA
This 21-nucleotide non-coding RNA is filed under the name Caenorhabditis elegans. The record is from RNAcentral. Lineage: Eukaryota; Metazoa; Nematoda; Chromadorea; Rhabditida; Rhabditidae.